RNAcentral lists this transfer RNA (74 nucleotides) under Candidatus Desulfatifera sulfidica. RNAcentral's name for it is "tRNA-Gln". It matches the Rfam family "tRNA". Rfam says of the family: Transfer RNA (tRNA) molecules are approximately 80 nucleotides in length. Lineage: Bacteria; Pseudomonadati; Thermodesulfobacteriota; Desulfobulbia; Desulfobulbales; Desulfobulbaceae. The record is from RNAcentral.
UGGGGAAUGGUGUAACGGUAACACAGCAGACUCUGACUCUGCCUUUUGGGGUUCGAAUCCCUAUUCCCCAGCCA